GGUUCUGUGGUGUAAUGGUUAGCACUUUGGACUUUGAACCCAAGGAUCCGAGUUCAAAUCUCGGCAGGACCU
RNAcentral lists this transfer RNA (72 nucleotides) under Dendronephthya gigantea. RNAcentral's name for it is "tRNA-Gln". It matches the Rfam family "tRNA". From Rfam's summary of the family: Transfer RNA (tRNA) molecules are approximately 80 nucleotides in length. Their secondary structure includes four short double-helical elements and three loops (D, anti-codon, and T loops). Further hydrogen bonds mediate the characteristic L-shaped molecular structure. tRNAs have two regions of fundamental functional importance: the anti-codon, which is responsible for specific mRNA codon recognition, and the 3' end, to which the tRNAs corresponding amino acid is attached (by aminoacyl-tRNA synthetases). tRNAs cope with the degeneracy of the genetic code in two manners: having more than one tRNA (with a specific anti-codon) for a particular amino acid; and 'wobble' base-pairing, i.e. permitting non-standard base-pairing at the 3rd anti-codon position. The record is from RNAcentral. Lineage: Eukaryota; Metazoa; Cnidaria; Anthozoa; Malacalcyonacea; Nephtheidae.